This 92-nucleotide transfer RNA is filed under the name Deinococcus seoulensis. RNAcentral describes it as "tRNA-Ala". Lineage: Bacteria; Thermotogati; Deinococcota; Deinococci; Deinococcales; Deinococcaceae. The record is from RNAcentral.
GCCGCCGGGCAGCGUGGCGUACGCGCGGCCCUGCUUGCGGCGGAGCAUGAGGAGCACUUCGGCGCUGUCGUUCAGGAUGAUGGCGACGGCGC